AGCUUUGUGCAUUGGCAGUAUCAUAGCCAGUGAAGUUCACUGAAGGUACAGUUAUUGCUCUUUGAAAAUUAUUUCCAGGAGUAAAAAUAUCUUUCUGGGCUGUUCAGAAUUGCUCAAGGAGC
Molecule: small nuclear RNA, 122 nt
Filed under: Sus scrofa (pig)
Lineage: Eukaryota; Metazoa; Chordata; Mammalia; Artiodactyla; Suidae
Description: U4 spliceosomal RNA (ENSSSCG00070000240.1)
Source: RNAcentral